This 429-nucleotide ribosomal RNA is filed under the name Acidobacteriota bacterium. RNAcentral describes it as "Acidobacteria bacterium partial 16S ribosomal RNA". It matches the Rfam family "Bacterial small subunit ribosomal RNA", at positions 355 to 776 of the family's 1533-position model. RNAcentral also lists the same sequence under 1 other name. The record is from RNAcentral. Lineage: Bacteria; Pseudomonadati; Acidobacteriota.
UAGGGAAUCUUCGGCAAUGGACGAAAGUCUGACCGAGCAACGCCGCGUGAGUGAAGAAGGUUUUCGGAUCGUAAAACUCUGUUGUUAGAGAAGAACAAGGACGUUAGUAACUGAACGUCCCCUGACGGUAUCUAACCAGAAAGCCACGGCUAACUAUGUGCCAGCAGCCGCGGUAAUACGUAGGUGGCAAGCGUUGUCCGGAUUUAUUGGGCGUAAAGCGAGCGCAGGCGGUUUCUUAAGUCUGAUGUGAAAGCCCCCGGCUCAACCGGGGAGGGUCAUUGGAAACUGGGAGACUUGAGUGCAGAAGAGGAGAGUGGAAUUCCAUGUGUAGCGGUGAAAUGCGUAGAUAUAUGGAGGAACACCAGUGGCGAAGGCGGCUCUCUGGUCUGUAACUGACGCUGAGGCUCGAAAGCGUGGGGAGCAAACAGG